This 606-nucleotide ribosomal RNA is filed under the name uncultured bacterium. Its description in RNAcentral is "bacterial SSU rRNA". It matches the Rfam family "Bacterial small subunit ribosomal RNA", at positions 8 to 608 of the family's 1533-position model. The record is from RNAcentral.
AGAGUUUGAUCCUGGCUCAGAACGAACGCUGGCGGCGCGCCUAAUACAUGCAAGUCGAGCGAGAAGGUGUAGCAAUACACUUGUAAAGCGGCGAACGGGUGAGGAAUACAUGGGUAAUCUACCAUCGAGUGGGGAAUAACCAGCCGAAAGGUUGGCUAAUACCGCGUACGCCUCCGGAUCUUCGGGUUCGGAGGGAAAGCCACACUGUGAGUGCGGCGCUCUUUGAUGAGCUCAUGUCCUAUCAGCUUGUUGGUAGGGUAACGGCCUACCAAGGCUUUGACGGGUAGCUGGUCUGAGAGGACGAUCAGCCACACUGGCACUGCGACACGAGCCAGACUCCUACGGGAGGCAGCAGUAAGGAAUAUUGCGCAAUGGGCGAAAGCCUGACGCAGCGACGCCGCGUGGGGGAUGAAGGUCUUCGGAUUGUAAACCCCUUUCGGGAGGGAAGAUGGAGCGAGCAAUCGUUCGGACGGUACCUCCAGAAGCAGCCACGGCCAACUUCGUGCCAGCAGCCGCGGUAAUACGAAGGUGGCAAGCGUUGUUCGGAUUCACUGGGCGUACAGGGUGUGUAGGCGGUUUGGUAAGCCUUCUGUUAAAGCUUCGGGC